This 1523-nucleotide ribosomal RNA is filed under the name Haemophilus influenzae. RNAcentral's name for it is "bacterial LSU rRNA". It matches the Rfam family "Bacterial large subunit ribosomal RNA", at positions 1332 to 2838 of the family's 2925-position model. The record is from RNAcentral. Lineage: Bacteria; Pseudomonadati; Pseudomonadota; Gammaproteobacteria; Pasteurellales; Pasteurellaceae.
GUUCGCCGGAAGACCAAGGGUUCCUGUCCAACGUUAAUCGGGGCAGGGUGAGUCGGCCCCUAAGGCGAGGCUGAAAAGCGUAGUCGAUGGGAAACAGGUUAAUAUUCCUGUACUUGGUAAAGCUGCGAUGUGGGGACGGAGUAGGUUAGGUUAGCGUGCUGUUGGAUAUGCACGUUUAAGUUGGUAGGUGGGAAGUUUAGGCAAAUCCGGACUUCCUUAACACUGAGAGAUGAUGACGAGGCUCUACGGAGCUGAAGUAACUGAUACCACACUUCCAGGAAAAGCCACUAAGCGACAGGCUUUACUAAACCGUACUGAAAACCGACACAGGUGGUCAGGUAGAGAAUACUCAGGCGCUUGAGAGAACUCGGGUGAAGGAACUAGGCAAAAUAGCACCGUAACUUCGGGAGAAGGUGCGCCGGCGUAGAUUGUAAGGGCUAGCCCCUGAAGGUUGAACCGGUCGAAGAUACCAGCUGGCUGCAACUGUUUAUUAAAAACACAGCACUCUGCAAACACGAAAGUGGAGGUAUAGGGUGUGAUGCCUGCCCGGUGCUGGAAGGUUAAUUGAUGGUGUAAUCGAAAGAGAAGCACCUGAUCGAAGCCCCAGUAAACGGCGGCCGUAACUAUAACGGUCCUAAGGUAGCGAAAUUCCUUGUCGGGUAAGUUCCGACCUGCACGAAUGGCAUAAUGAUGGCCAGGCUGUCUCCACCCGAGACUCAGUGAAAUUGAAAUCGCCGUGAAGAUGCGGUGUACCCGCGGCUAGACGGAAAGACCCCGUGAACCUUUACUAUAGCUUGACACUGAACAUUGAAUUUUGAUGUGUAGGAUAGGUGGGAGACUAAGAAGUAGGAACGCCAGUUUCUAUGGAGUCAUCCUUGAAAUACCACCCUUUAACGUUUGAUGUUCUAACGAAGAUUACGAAACGUGGUCUCGGACAGUGUCUGGUGGGUAGUUUGACUGGGGCGGUCUCCUCCCAAAGCGUAACGGAGGAGCACGAAGGUUUGCUAAUCACGGUCGGACAUCGUGAGGUUAGUGCAAUGGUAUAAGCAAGCUUAACUGCGAGACAGACAAGUCGAGCAGGUACGAAAGUAGGUCAUAGUGAUCCGGUGGUUCUGAAUGGAAGGGCCAUCGCUCAACGGAUAAAAGGUACUCCGGGGAUAACAGGCUGAUACCGCCCAAGAGUUCAUAUCGACGGCGGUGUUUGGCACCUCGAUGUCGGCUCAUCACAUCCUGGGGCUGAAGUAGGUCCCAAGGGUAUGGCUGUUCGCCAUUUAAAGUGGUACGCGAGCUGGGUUUAGAACGUCGUGAGACAGUUCGGUCCCUAUCUGCCGUGGGCGUUGGAGAAUUGGUUGGGGCUGCUCCUAGUACGAGAGGACCGGAGUGGACGCACCACUGGUGUUCCGGUUGUGUCGCCAGACGCAUUGCCGGGUAGCUAAGUGCGGAAGAGAUAAGUGCUGAAAGCAUCUAAGCACGAAACUUGCCAAGAGAUGAGUUCUCCCUGUCUUUAAGACAGUAAGGGUUGU